Molecule: small nuclear RNA, 116 nt
Organism: Hibiscus syriacus
Lineage: Eukaryota; Viridiplantae; Streptophyta; Magnoliopsida; Malvales; Malvaceae
Product: U5 spliceosomal RNA
Exons: 1
Source: RefSeq, a predicted model, not a curated record
AGUCGUGUGAUGAGCACAGAACAAACUAUUCUUUCGCCUUUUACUAAAGAAUACCGUGUGCUGUCCACUCAAAGCGGCAUACGCAUAUUUUUGAAAGGGUGUCCUCGUUGAAUGCC